CUUGGUGGUUAGAGCGGGGUGGCACCACCCGUUCCCAUCCCGAAUACGGAAGUGAAACGCCCUAGCGCAGACGAUACUUAGGGGGUGACUCCUUGUGGAAAAUAUGCCACUGCCAAGA
This 118-nucleotide ribosomal RNA is filed under the name Dehalococcoidales bacterium. Lineage: Bacteria; Bacillati; Chloroflexota; Dehalococcoidia; Dehalococcoidales. The record is from RNAcentral.